This 268-nucleotide long non-coding RNA is filed under the name Elaeis guineensis (African oil palm). Its description in RNAcentral is "long non-coding RNA (EGUI_LNC029014)". The record is from RNAcentral. Lineage: Eukaryota; Viridiplantae; Streptophyta; Magnoliopsida; Arecales; Arecaceae.
UAGAGGAUCUAUAUAUCCAUAUUAUUAUUUACUAACAAUAUCCAAGCGCACUCCAGCCCAAAAAAAUAGAGGAAAAGUAUAAACAUGCAGCCAUAACCGUGACAAAUGAUUAACUUGCUUUUAGCUGUUUAAUAUCAUUAAUCCUUUCUUUGCUUUGUGUAAUUAGAAUAAAUGUUAACAUGCAAAUUAAAAUAAAGCUAUAUACCAUUUUGCUGGGUAUUGAGGUAAAAAAAAAAGGAACAUAAAUAACUAAAUAAUUCUUUGUCAG